CCCUUAGAUGUUCUGGGCUGCACGCGCGCUACAAUGAUAGACUCAAAGAGUUUUCAAAAAAAGGAUAUGAUUUUAUUUCGUAUUCUAUAUUUCCUUGAUCGAGAGAUCUGGGUAAUCUUUUUUGAAAUUCUAUCAUGUUAGGGAUUGAUGAUUGCAAUUAUUCAUCAUAAACGAGGAAUGCCUUGUAAGUGCUUUUCAUCACAAAGCGCUGAAUACGUCCCUGCCCUUUGUACACACCGCCCGUCGCUCCUACCGAUCGAAGAGUUAGGUGAAUUGUUUUGAUCGAUAAGAUUUGACUAUGGUCAACUCUCGUUGUGAAAUUCUGUGAAUCUGACUGUUUAGAGGAAGGAAAAGUCGUAACA
Molecule: ribosomal RNA, 362 nt
Filed under: uncultured eukaryote
Lineage: Eukaryota
Description: partial 18S ribosomal RNA
Rfam family: Eukaryotic small subunit ribosomal RNA
Source: RNAcentral